RNAcentral lists this long non-coding RNA (341 nucleotides) under Cricetulus griseus (Chinese hamster). RNAcentral describes it as "lncRNA (ENSCGRG00000024975.1)". Lineage: Eukaryota; Metazoa; Chordata; Mammalia; Rodentia; Cricetidae. The record is from RNAcentral.
CUCAAGACAGAAUCUCAAAAGAAAUUACUCUAAGAUAUAAUUUGCUAUAUGGUCUGGAGAAUGAUCUACAAUGGCUAUAUUUUGUUUUCAAAUGAGUGAACUUAUUAAUUAUGUACAGCAAGCUGAAGUAAAAGAAUAAAAACAAUAUCAGACAUACAGAUGUUCGACGGAUGGACAGGCAGAUAAAUAGAAAAAUAUCAUCGAAUCAGACACUCAAAAUAGCCAGCAGAAACUGAUUGAGGAAGUGCUCUUGGGCCAAUUGACUGGAGUUCUCAAUACGGAGAGCACCCAGGGAGAUGUACUACUUUUCCUAGGGAUGCCAUCACACCAUCAAGUCUUAC